AUUGAACGCUGGCGGCAGGCCUAACACAUGCAAGUCGAGCGGAUGAAGGGAGCUUGCUCCUGGAUUCAGCGGCGGACGGGUGAGUAAUGCCUAGGAAUCUGCCUGGUAGUGGGGGAUGACGUCCGGAAACGGGCGCUAAUACCGCAUACGUCCUGAGGGAGAAAGUGGGGGAUCUUCGGACCUCACGCUAUCAGAUGAGCCUAGGUCGGAUUAGCUAGUUGGUGGGGUAAAGGCCUACCAAGGCGACGAUCCGUAACUGGUCUGAGAGGAUGAUCAGUCACACUGGAACUGAGACACGGUCCAGACUCCUACGGGAGGCAGCAGCGGGGAAUAUUGGACAAUGGGCGAAAGCCUGAUCCAGCCAUGCCGCGUGUGUGAAGAAGGUCUUCGGAUUGUAAAGCACUUUAAGUUGGGAGGAAGGGCAGUAAGUUAAUGCCUUGCUGUUUUGACGUUACCAACAGAAUAAGCACCGGCUAACUUCGUG
This 484-nucleotide ribosomal RNA is filed under the name uncultured bacterium. RNAcentral describes it as "partial 16S ribosomal RNA". It matches the Rfam family "Bacterial small subunit ribosomal RNA", at positions 30 to 507 of the family's 1533-position model. The record is from RNAcentral.